UCUACCUAGUAGUACGGAAUAAUUGUUGGAAACGGCAACUAAUACCGUAUACGCCCUACGGGGGAAAAAUUUAUUGCUAUUAGAUGAGCCUAUAUUAGAUUAGCUAGUUGGUGGAGUAAUAGCCUACCAAGGCAAUGAUCUAUAGCUGAUCUGAGAGGAUGAUCAGCCACACUGGAACUGAGAUACGGUCCAGACUCCUACGGGAGGCAGCAGUGGGGAAUAUUGGACAAUGGGCGAAAGCCUGAUCCAGCCAUGCCGCAUGAGUGAAGAAGGCCUUUGGGUUGUAAAGCUCUUUUAGUGAGGAAGAUAAUGACGGUACUCACAGAAGAAGUCCUGGCUAACUCCGUGCCAGCAGCCGCGGUAAUACGGAGAGGGCUAGCGUUAUUCGGAAUUAUUGGGCGUAAAGGGCGCGUAGGCUGGUUAAUAAGUUAAAAGUGAAAUCCCGAGGCUUAACCUUGGAAUUGCUUUUAAAACUAUUAACCUAGAGAUUGAAAGAGGAUAGAGGAAUUCC
This 511-nucleotide ribosomal RNA is filed under the name Wolbachia endosymbiont of Crioceris quatuordecimpunctata. RNAcentral's name for it is "bacterial SSU rRNA". It matches the Rfam family "Bacterial small subunit ribosomal RNA", at positions 125 to 670 of the family's 1533-position model. Lineage: Bacteria; Pseudomonadati; Pseudomonadota; Alphaproteobacteria; Rickettsiales; Anaplasmataceae. RNAcentral also lists the same sequence under 1 other name. The record is from RNAcentral.